AAUGGAGGAAACUCUGACGCAGCCAUGCCGCGUGCAGGAAGAAUGCCUACGGGUUGUAAACUGCUUUUAUAUAGGAAGAACCCCGAUACGUGUAUCGGCUUGACGGUACUAUAUGAAUAAGGACCGGCUAACUCCGUGCCAGCAGCCGCGGUAAUACGGAGGGUCCAAGCGUUAUCCGGAUUUAUUAGGUUUAAAGGGUCCGCAGGCGGGAUUUUAAGUCAGUGGUGAAAGCCUACAGCUCAACUGUAGAACUGCCAUUGAAACUGAAAUUCUUGAGUGUGGUUGAAGUGGGCGGAAUAUGUCAUGUAGCGGUGAAAUGCAUAGAUAUGACAUAGAACACCAAUUGCGAAGGCAGCUCACUAAGCCAUUACUGACGCUCAUGGACGAAAGCGUGGGGAGCGAACAGGAUU
RNAcentral lists this ribosomal RNA (410 nucleotides) under uncultured Flavobacteriia bacterium. Its description in RNAcentral is "bacterial SSU rRNA". It matches the Rfam family "Bacterial small subunit ribosomal RNA", at positions 370 to 779 of the family's 1533-position model. The record is from RNAcentral. Lineage: Bacteria; Pseudomonadati; Bacteroidota; Flavobacteriia.